This is a long non-coding RNA of Hippocampus comes (tiger tail seahorse), 583 nucleotides long. RefSeq lists it as uncharacterized. NCBI's taxonomy places the organism in Eukaryota, Metazoa, Chordata, Actinopteri, Syngnathiformes, Syngnathidae. The record is from RefSeq and is a predicted model, not a curated record. The transcript is spliced from 3 exons.
AAACUCCGCUCAGUGAUGUGUGAAAAUACAACACCAAAACAGUUUUCCUGCAAACCACCCAGAGUGCAUGUCAAAUAAGCCAUUCGUGCAGAGCAAGUCACAGUAACUGGUGGUGUAGAGGUAUACAUGCUGGCUUUCCGUACAGGCAACCCUGGUUCAAACCCCGUUCAGUAAUGUGAGAAAAUUCAACACCAAACAGUUACUUUUCCUGCAAAAUCCACCAGAGUGCAUGUCAAAUACGCCUAUCGUGCAGAGCAAAUCAAGGUCCAUGGUGGUGCAGAGGUAUACACGCCGGCUUUCCGUCCAGGCAAUCCUGGUUCACGCCCCGCUCAGUCAUGUGAGAAAACACAACACCAAUUACUUUUUCCUGCAAACCCUCCAGAGUGCAUAUCAAAUAUGCCUACCGUGCAUAGUAUCUCACAGUCACUGGUGGUGUAGAGGUAUACACGCUGGCUUUCCGUCCAGGCAGCGUGGAACACGUCCAGUGACAGCAUAAAUGUCAGUUCCAAUGGCCUAAAGCUGGGAUAGAAUCCAGCAAGUUCCCAGUGACAGUUGUCCAUGUAGAACAGGGGUUUUAGCCCAA